GACGAACGCUGGCGGCGUGCUUAACACAUGCAAGUCGAACGGUGAUGCUCCAGCUUGCUGGAGUGGAUCAGUGGCGAACGGGUGAGUAACACGUGAGCAACCUGCCCCAGACUCUGGAAUAAGCGCUGGAAACGGCGUCUAAUACUGGAUACGAAACUGGCCCGCAUGGGCAUGGUUUGGAAAGUUUUUCGGUUUGGGAUGGGCUCGCGGCCUAUCAGCUUGUUGGUGAGGUAAUGGCUCACCAAGGCGACGACGGGUAGCCGGCCUGGGAGGGCGACCGGCCACCCUGGGACUGAGACACGGACCAGACUCCUACGGGAGGCAGCAGUGGGGAAUAUUGCACAAUGGGCGAAAGCCUGAUGCAGCGACGCCGCGUGAGUGAUGACGGCCUUCGGGUUGUAAACCUCUUUCAGCAGGGAAGAAGCGAAAGUGACGGUACCUGCAGAAGAAGCACCGGCUAACUACGUG
RNAcentral lists this ribosomal RNA (468 nucleotides) under uncultured bacterium. RNAcentral describes it as "partial 16S ribosomal RNA". It matches the Rfam family "Bacterial small subunit ribosomal RNA", at positions 28 to 507 of the family's 1533-position model. The record is from RNAcentral.